This 254-nucleotide ribosomal RNA is filed under the name uncultured bacterium. RNAcentral's name for it is "partial 16S ribosomal RNA". It matches the Rfam family "Bacterial small subunit ribosomal RNA", at positions 524 to 776 of the family's 1533-position model. The record is from RNAcentral.
UACGUAGGGUGCAAGCGUUGUCCGGAAUUAUUGGGCGUAAAGAGCUCGUAGGCGGUUCACUAAGUCGGGUGUGAAACCUCCAGGCUCAACCUGGAGACGCCACCUGAUACUGGUGUGACUAGAGUCCGGUAGGGGAGUGUGGAACUCCUGGUGUAGCGGUGAAAUGCGCAGAUAUCAGGAAGAACACCAGCGGCGAAGGCGGCACUCUGGGCCGGUACUGACGCUGAGGAGCGAAAGCGUGGGGAGCAAACAGG